Molecule: transfer RNA, 90 nt
Filed under: Nocardia farcinica
Lineage: Bacteria; Bacillati; Actinomycetota; Actinomycetes; Mycobacteriales; Nocardiaceae
Also listed under: 1 other name
Description: tRNA-Ala(tgc)
Source: RNAcentral
UCCCCGCUAGCUCAAUGGAAAGAGUGCCGGCGCUUGCGCCUCGGAUGGUGCGGCCAGGGUGGGUCCGCGUUCGAAUCGCGGGCGGGGAGC